GACGAACGCUGGCGGCGUGCUUAACACAUGCAAGUCGAACGGAAAGGCCCUGCUUGCAGGGUACUCGAGUGGCGAACGGGUGAGUAACACGUGGGUGAUCUGCCCUGCACUUCGGGAUAAGCCUGGGAAACUGGGUCUAAUACCGGAUAGGAGCCAUUUUUAGUGUGAUGGUUGGAAAGUUUUUUCGGUGUAGGAUGAGCUCGCGGCCUAUCAGCUUGUUGGUGGGGUAAUGGCCUACCAAGGCGGCGACGGGUAGCCGGCCUGAGAGGGUGGACGGCCACAUUGGGACUGAGAUACGGCCCAGACUCCUACGGGAGGCAGCAGUGGGGAAUAUUGCACAAUGGGCGCAAGCCUGAUGCAGCGACGCCGCGUGGGGGAUGACGGCCUUCGGGUUGGAAACUCGUUUCGCUAGGGACGAAGCUUUUUGUGACGGUACCUAGAUAAGAAGCACCGGCUAACUACGUG
This 465-nucleotide ribosomal RNA is filed under the name uncultured bacterium. Its description in RNAcentral is "partial 16S ribosomal RNA". It matches the Rfam family "Bacterial small subunit ribosomal RNA", at positions 28 to 507 of the family's 1533-position model. The record is from RNAcentral.